This 483-nucleotide ribosomal RNA is filed under the name uncultured bacterium. Its description in RNAcentral is "partial 16S ribosomal RNA". It matches the Rfam family "Bacterial small subunit ribosomal RNA", at positions 28 to 523 of the family's 1533-position model. The record is from RNAcentral.
GACGAACGCUGGCGGCGUGCUUAACACAUGCAAGUCGAACGAUGAUCAGGAGCUUGCUCCUGUGAUUAGUGGCGAACGGGUGAGUAACACGUGAGUAACCUGCCCCUGACUCUGGGAUAAGCGUUGGAAACGACGUCUAAUACUGGAUACGACUGCCGGCCGCAUGGUCUGGUGGUGGAAAGAUUUUUUGGUUGGGGAUGGACUCGCGGCCUAUCAGCUUGUUGGUGAGGUAAUGGCUCACCGAGGCGACGACGGGUAGCCGGCCUGAGAGGGUGACCGGCCACACUGGGACUGAGACGCGGCCCAGACUCCUACGGGAGGCAGCAGUGGGGAAUAUUGCACAAUGGGCGAAAGCCUGAUGCAGCAACGCCGCGUGAGGGAUGACGGCCUUCGGGUUGUAAACCUCUUUUAGUAGGGAAGAAGCGAAAGUGACGGUACCUGCAGAAAAAGCACCGGCUAACUACGUGCCAGCAGCCGCCGUAA